CCCGCCAUAGUUUAAAUUAAAACAUUGACCUGCAAAAUCGAAAAUGGAAUGGUUUCCUGGUGUGU
This 65-nucleotide transfer RNA is filed under the name Bufonaria rana. RNAcentral describes it as "tRNA-Cys". Lineage: Eukaryota; Metazoa; Mollusca; Gastropoda; Littorinimorpha; Bursidae. The record is from RNAcentral.